UACAGAGGGUGCGAGCGUUGUCCGGAAUCACUGGGCGUAAAGGGUGCGUAGGCGGGUCUUUAAGUCAGAGGUGAAAUCCUGGAGCUCAACUCCAGAACUGCCUUUGAUACUGAGGGUCUUGAGUAUGACAGAGGUGAGUGGAACUGCGAGUGUAAGAGGUGAAAUUCGUAGAUAAUUCGCAAGACACCAGUGGCGAAGGCGGCUCACUGGGUCAUUACUGACGCUGAGGCACGAAGCGUGGGGAGCAAACAGG
RNAcentral lists this ribosomal RNA (253 nucleotides) under uncultured bacterium. RNAcentral's name for it is "partial 16S ribosomal RNA". It matches the Rfam family "Bacterial small subunit ribosomal RNA", at positions 524 to 776 of the family's 1533-position model. The record is from RNAcentral.